AUUGAACGCUGGCGGCAGGCCUAACACAUGCAAGUCGAGCGGAUGAAGGGAGCUUGCUCCUGGUUUCAGCGGCGGACGGGUGAGUAAUGCCUAGGAAUCUGCCUGGUAGUGGGGGAUAACGUCCGGAAACGGGCGCUAAUACCGCAUACGUCCUGAGGGAGAAAGUGGGGGAUCUUCGGACCUCACGCUAUCAGAUGAGCCUAGGUCGGAUUAGCUAGUUGGUGGGGUAAAGGCCUACCAAGGCGACGAUCCGUAACUGGUCUGAGAGGAUGAUCAGUCACACUGGAACUGAGACACGGUCCAGACUCCUACGGGAGGCAGCAGUGGGGAAUAUUGGACAAUGGGCGAAAGCCUGAUCCAGCCAUGCCGCGUGUGUGAAGAAGGUCUUCGGAUUGUAAAGCACUUUAAGUUGGGAGGAAGGGCAGUAAGUUAAGACCUUGCUGUUUUGACGUUACCAACAGAAUAAGCACCGGCUAACUUCGUG
This 484-nucleotide ribosomal RNA is filed under the name uncultured bacterium. RNAcentral's name for it is "partial 16S ribosomal RNA". It matches the Rfam family "Bacterial small subunit ribosomal RNA", at positions 30 to 507 of the family's 1533-position model. The record is from RNAcentral.